AGGCGCGUAGCUCAGCGGUAGAGCACUGCUAUUACCUGGCAGAGGCAUGUGGUUCGACUCCCAUCGCGCCUACCA
RNAcentral lists this transfer RNA (75 nucleotides) under Chromatiales bacterium. Its description in RNAcentral is "tRNA-Val". It matches the Rfam family "tRNA". Rfam says of the family: Transfer RNA (tRNA) molecules are approximately 80 nucleotides in length. Their secondary structure includes four short double-helical elements and three loops (D, anti-codon, and T loops). Further hydrogen bonds mediate the characteristic L-shaped molecular structure. tRNAs have two regions of fundamental functional importance: the anti-codon, which is responsible for specific mRNA codon recognition, and the 3' end, to which the tRNAs corresponding amino acid is attached (by aminoacyl-tRNA synthetases). tRNAs cope with the degeneracy of the genetic code in two manners: having more than one tRNA (with a specific anti-codon) for a particular amino acid; and 'wobble' base-pairing, i.e. permitting non-standard base-pairing at the 3rd anti-codon position. The record is from RNAcentral. Lineage: Bacteria; Pseudomonadati; Pseudomonadota; Gammaproteobacteria; Chromatiales. RNAcentral also lists the same sequence under 1 other name.